This 140-nucleotide small nucleolar RNA is filed under the name Dasypus novemcinctus (nine-banded armadillo). Lineage: Eukaryota; Metazoa; Chordata; Mammalia; Cingulata; Dasypodidae. The record is from RNAcentral.
GACCUCCCAGGAUUGCGUCUGGAGGAGGGCUAGUAUUCUACCAGCUUCAGAGAUAGGAAGGAAAGCAAGCCCAGCAGAGAUGCCCAUUCCACUCCCAAUUGGCUCAGGAGCUGGCGAUUAGAAUAUACUCUGUAGCAUAU